AUGCUACUCCCUCCGUCCGGAAAUACUUGUCAUCAAAAUAAAUAAAAAUGGAUGUAUCUAGAUAUAUUUUAGUUCUAGAUACAUUUAUUUUUGUUCAUUUUGAUGAAAAAUAUUUUCGGACGGAGGGCAUGUAUCUU
Molecule: non-coding RNA, 137 nt
Organism: Triticum aestivum (bread wheat)
Lineage: Eukaryota; Viridiplantae; Streptophyta; Magnoliopsida; Poales; Poaceae
Source: Rfam